Molecule: long non-coding RNA, 955 nt
Organism: Lutra lutra (Eurasian river otter)
Lineage: Eukaryota; Metazoa; Chordata; Mammalia; Carnivora; Mustelidae
Exons: 3
Source: RefSeq, a predicted model, not a curated record
GGCACUGCUGGCCAUCCUGUGCUCUCAGAUCUCCCAGGCAAGUGUAAUGAUUGCACCCGUUUUGGGUUGACUUGGGUACCCUAAAAAAGGUUGAAGUCUUAACCGCUGGAACCUCAGAAUAUGACCUUAUUUGGUUAAUUUGAGGUCGUACUGGGCUAGGAUAGGCCCUAACCCAAUGUGGCUGGUAACCCUAUAAGAAGAGAGGAAGAAUAUAGUAUAGAGACCCGAGGAGGAAGACAGCCAGGUGACGUCAUGGAGGCAGAGAACGUAGUGAUGCAUCUGUAAACCGGGAACACCAAGGUUUACCGGCCACCACCGGAGGCUGGAGAGGGUCCUGGAGCAGAUUCUCCCUUAGAACUCCAUGAGGAACCAACUGUACUACCCACAUGUGGCUCUUGGACUUCGGGCUUUAGAAGGGGGGGAAUGACUGUGGUUUAAGGCACCCACAUUUGUAGUCCUUUGUUACUGAAAGUCCAGGAACCUAAUACACUCUCUUUUUACAGAUGAAUAAUCUGUGGGUAAGACAGUUUGUCCGACUUGGCCAAUGAAGGAUAUAAAUAAGGGCUAGAAUUUCAAGAACAGCUAGACGAUAGGCACACACACCCUUGGCCCGUUUGCAAAUUCCCAUGUGAAGUCAUAUAAGGUCCAUGGCCUUCUGGCAAGAUUCCUUACUACAUCCUUGGCAAUGCUCAGUAUUACUGUCUAGUCAUUUUUAGAUACAUUGUAUGAUGGCCACAAAAAACACCUUCUGGUCCAAAUCUGCAAGGAAAUGGAUAGACAGAGGUGCUGGGAGGACUGCUCCCAGCUCUACGGCAAAUUUCCAAAUGCAAUUGGCUGGCGGGUUUGGAUGCAACUCACCCUAUUUUGAAAAUAAAGCGUUAAUUCUAUGUAUCACUCCAUUUGUUCUCUCAAAUGAAAAGUGAAAGAUUAAUUCGUUAGAAACAAAUCCUUUCAC